AGGACACUGAACCUUGAUGCA
This 21-nucleotide unclassified non-coding RNA is filed under the name Mus musculus (house mouse). RNAcentral's name for it is "oocyte_clustered_small_RNA4097". Lineage: Eukaryota; Metazoa; Chordata; Mammalia; Rodentia; Muridae. The record is from RNAcentral.